GUGGGGAAUAUUGCACAAUGGGCGCAAGCCUGAUGCAGCAACGCCGCGUGAGGGAUGACGGCCUUCGGGUUGUAAACCUCUUUUAGUAGGGAAGAAGCGUAAGUGACGGUACCUGCAGAAAAAGCACCGGCUAACUACGUGCCAGCAGCCGCGGUAAUACGUAGGGUGCAAGCGUUGUCCGGAAUUAUUGGGCGUAAAGAGCUCGUAGGCGGCUUGUCGCGUCUGCUGUGAAAUCCCGGAGCUCAACUCCGGGCGUGCAGUGGGUACGGGCAGGCUAGAGUGCGGUAGGGGAGAUUGGAAUUCCUGGUGUAGCGGUGGAAUGCGCAGAUAUCAGGAGGAACACCGAUGGCGAAGGCAGAUCUCUGGGCCGUAACUGACGCUGAGGAGCGAAAGCAUGGGGAGCGAACAGGAUUAGAUACCCUAGUAGUCC
This 430-nucleotide ribosomal RNA is filed under the name uncultured bacterium. RNAcentral describes it as "partial 16S ribosomal RNA". It matches the Rfam family "Bacterial small subunit ribosomal RNA", at positions 354 to 796 of the family's 1533-position model. The record is from RNAcentral.